This is a long non-coding RNA of Oreochromis aureus, 398 nucleotides long. Lineage: Eukaryota; Metazoa; Chordata; Actinopteri; Cichliformes; Cichlidae. The record is from Ensembl.
GAAGGAGCGCGCUCAGUAUUUCACGGCAGCAGAGCAAGAACUCUUGAUUGAGGGAUUUCAGGAGUUUCAGAGUUUAAUUAAAACGCAAGGGAACACUGCAAAGGCUGCAAAAGCAAGGAGAGAGGGCUGGCAGAAAGUUGCUGACAAAUUAAACUCCAACCAAGAAAAGGGCAGAGCAAAUAAAGACAGGUGGUGGUCCUGCACCCCCUCGUCACACCCCGGCAGAGGAGCUGGCCCUAGGGUCGAAUGCCACCAGACCCAUUGUUGAGGGCAUCCCUGGGGGCAGCUCUUCCUUAGACCAGCAGCCGGGGUGCAGUAGCAGCAGCACCUUCAUAACUGUUUUACAUAACACUCCAUCACUUCUACCUGUUCCCAUGCAAGGGGUGACUGAAGCAUGC